Pseudophryne corroboree (corroboree frog) is the source of this 778-nucleotide long non-coding RNA. RefSeq lists it as uncharacterized. Lineage: Eukaryota; Metazoa; Chordata; Amphibia; Anura; Myobatrachidae. The record is from RefSeq and is a predicted model, not a curated record. The transcript is spliced from 3 exons.
AGCUAGAGGCAGCAUUGUCCCAUAUUUCAAACCACUCCUAAGAAUCCAAAUUAAUUAGCAUGCCAACUCAUGGGGAUGAGCUGGACGUCUUUUUCAGAUGCGUGGAACGCCAUGUUUGAAUGAGGCUAGCUGUAUCCAAACACUUGACUUUGCUGCAGACAAAUACUCUACUCAAGUUUCUUUCCAUAGAGACAGGGAUCUAAUGGAAAUCUACUCAUCAGACGAAGGUGAAUGGAAAGCAGUGAAAUAAUACCAGAUGAAUUCAACGCGUUUCCAUCCACGGCGGCAGCGGCGGGGAUGGGAGAGGAUUCAGAAGGUGACAGCAGAUAAGUGCAUGCAAACCACAUCUCUCUGUUGAUCGUGGUUACUCCCUGAUUAUUUUGUAUGCCAAUUAAAGAUUAAUCAGUCACCCCAGAAGCCCACCCAAAGUUUUGUGCCUCGUCAUGCAAAGAGCAACAUGGAUAACAAAAGCGUGACCCAGCCACCCACGGCUCUGUACCAGCAACGGAACAGCCUAAUUUGUACUUUGAUUUCUUUCUUUCUUUCUUUUUUUUUCUUCCUCUUUUGAUAUGAAGUUGUUUGUGUAUUUAUACCAUUCUUUCUGCCAAAUAGGAUUCUCUUGACUCCAGGACAUUUUCUUUGAUAAGAGUUUAGUAUUAAACACAGAAAACAAACAGCAUUAAUAUAUUUUAAAUUAAAUUGAGUUAUUAGCAAUGUCUUUUGUUCGUGUUAAAGUAAAUGCCAGAAGUAUCGGAAUAAAUGCCAGAAGUAUCGGAAA